CGUUCGCGUUCGCGAAAGUCUAACGACCAACGCUACGCGACGUUUGUCUUCUUUCGGCGCUCACAGCGUUGGAGACAGGCGGAAUUAUCUGUGAGCUCGAUGUACGGACUCCCGACCGCACAUCUAAAUAAGGGAUCGGGUAGGAAUGGCUUCGUCUGCGUUCCUCGCAUCCUAUCUUAAAUAUAACGUUGACUACGCGUCGUAGACUCUCUUUCAGAGACGGAUUCGGACUCGGGUUCGAUUCCCGACACUUCCACUA
This 259-nucleotide transfer-messenger RNA is filed under the name Candidatus Kaiserbacteria bacterium. RNAcentral describes it as "partial transfer-messenger RNA". It matches the Rfam family "transfer-messenger RNA", at positions 82 to 374 of the family's 374-position model. From Rfam's summary of the family: Bacterial tmRNA, also known as 10Sa RNA or SsrA, is named for its dual tRNA and mRNA-like properties. The record is from RNAcentral. Lineage: Bacteria; Candidatus Kaiseribacteriota.